This is a non-coding RNA of Thalictrum thalictroides, 175 nucleotides long. The record is from the annotation of a GenBank genome assembly. NCBI's taxonomy places the organism in Eukaryota, Viridiplantae, Streptophyta, Magnoliopsida, Ranunculales, Ranunculaceae.
UUACAUACCUGGACGGGGUCAAUGAGUGUUCAAGAAGGUUCAUGGCCUAGGUUAGUGACCUCCAUGGCACACUUGGGAGGGGUGCUUAGCCUAAGAUCUCCCCCCUCUCUGGGUGCAUGAGUGCAUCUACGUCAUAAUUUGUUGCUGCUGAGGUGUGUGCUUGCGCCGCCCCUUU